GAAAAGAUAGGAAUGCUCAGCCAAGUCCCAGCUCCUUCUAAGCCUGGGCUCAAGUGUCCUGGCUCUUCCUGCCUUGAACUUGAUUCUCCUAAGCUGAUAUUUGGAACUUUUUAGUCCAGAAACUAUAGACCAGGGUUUUGUAACACUGCUACCAUAAAUCCUUCCUGGAUUUUAUCUGCCAGUAGCCACAGAUACCAUUGCUAGCUGUUACAUAGAGGAUGUGUGUUUAAACCUCCUCAAGGUAAAAUUCUAAAAAUCUUUUCAGAUGCUGAAGAAGGAAGAAGCAAUUCCAUGGCCUGGAACUUUAGCAAUUGUUCAUUCCUAUAUUGCCUACAAAGCAGCAAAAGAAGAAGAGAAACAGAAGUUACUCAAAUGGAGUUCAGAUUU
RNAcentral lists this small RNA (387 nucleotides) under Pongo abelii (Sumatran orangutan). RNAcentral's name for it is "retained intron". Lineage: Eukaryota; Metazoa; Chordata; Mammalia; Primates; Hominidae. The record is from RNAcentral.